UACGUAGGGCGCAAGCGUUGUCCGGAAUUAUUGGGCGUAAAGAGCUCGUAGGCGGCUUGUCACGUCGGGUGUGAAAGCCCGGGGCUUAACCCCGGGUCUGCAUUCGAUACGGGCUAGCUAGAGUGUGGUAGGGGAGAUCGGAAUUCCUGGUGUAGCGGUGAAAUGCGCAGAUAUCAGGAGGAACACCGGUGGCGAAGGCGGUGGUCUGGGCCAGUACUGACGCUGAGGAGCGAAAGCGUGGGGAGCGAACAGG
RNAcentral lists this ribosomal RNA (253 nucleotides) under uncultured bacterium. Its description in RNAcentral is "partial 16S ribosomal RNA". It matches the Rfam family "Bacterial small subunit ribosomal RNA", at positions 524 to 776 of the family's 1533-position model. The record is from RNAcentral.